Molecule: ribosomal RNA, 259 nt
Filed under: uncultured Pseudomonas sp.
Lineage: Bacteria; Pseudomonadati; Pseudomonadota; Gammaproteobacteria; Pseudomonadales; Pseudomonadaceae
Description: partial 16S ribosomal RNA
Rfam family: Bacterial small subunit ribosomal RNA
Source: RNAcentral
CGGCGGACGGGUGGAGUAAUGCCUAGGAAUCUGCCUGGUAGUGGGGGACGAACGUUUCGAAAGGAACGCUAAUACCGCCAUACGUCCUACGGGAGAAAGCAGGGACCUUCGGGCCUUGCGCUAUCAGAUGAGCCUAGGUCGGAUUAGCUAGUUGGUGAAGUAAUGGCUCACCAAGGCGACGAUCCGUAACUGGUCUGAGAGGAUGAUCAGUCACACUGGAACUGAGACACGGUCCAGACUCCUACGGGAGGCAGCAGGC